Molecule: ribosomal RNA, 460 nt
Filed under: uncultured bacterium
Lineage: Bacteria
Description: partial 16S ribosomal RNA
Rfam family: Bacterial small subunit ribosomal RNA
Source: RNAcentral
CCUACGGGUGGCAGCAGUGAGGAAUAUUGGUCAAUGGGCGGGAGCCUGAACCAGCCAAGUCGCGUGAGGGAAGACGGUCCUAUGGAUUGUAAACCUCUUUAGUCGGGGAGCAAUGCCGGGCACGCGUGCCCGGAGGGAGAGUACCCGCAGAAUAAGCAUCGCCUAACUCCGUGCCAGCAGCGGCGGUAAUACGGAGGAUGCGAGCGUUAUCCGGUUUUAUGGGGUUUAAGGGGUGCGUAGGCGGAUUUUUAAGUCAGCGGUAAAAUGUCCGGGCUAAACCCGGACCUGCCGUUGAAACUGGGGAUCUUGAGUGGGCGAGAGGUAUGCGGAAUGCGUGGUGUAGCGGUGAAAUGCAUAGAUAUCACGAAGAACUCCGAUUGCGAAGGCAGCAUACCGGCGCCCGACUGACGCUGAGGCACGAAAGCGUGGGGAUCGAACAGGAUUAGAUACCCUUGUAGUC